This 405-nucleotide ribosomal RNA is filed under the name uncultured Pseudomonadota bacterium. RNAcentral's name for it is "bacterial SSU rRNA". It matches the Rfam family "Bacterial small subunit ribosomal RNA", at positions 378 to 774 of the family's 1533-position model. Lineage: Bacteria; Pseudomonadati; Pseudomonadota. The record is from RNAcentral.
GAACCCUGAUCCAGCCAUGCCGCGUGUGUGAAGAAGGCCUUAUGGUUGUAAAGCACUUUAAGCGAGGAGGAGGCUCUUUUGGUUAAUACCCAAGAUGAGUGGACGUUACUCGCAGAAUAAGCACCGGCUAACUCUGUGCCAGCAGCCGCGGUAAUACAGAGGGUGCGAGCGUUAAUCGGAUUUACUGGGCGUAAAGCGUGCGUAGGCGGCUUUUUAAGUCGGAUGUGAAAUCCCGGGGCUCAACCUCGGAACUGCCUUUGAUACUGGAAGUCUGGAGUCCGAGAGAGGUGAGUGGAACUCCGAGUGUAGAGGUGAAAUUCGUAGAUAUUCGGAAGAACACCAGUGGCGAAGGCGGCUCACUGGCUCGGUACUGACGCUGAGGUGCGAAAGCAUGGGGAGCAAACA